UGCCAACACCUAAACUUCCAAAGGAGGGACUCCUGCCAACGCUGCGGGGAAUUCCGGUCGGGUGAUCACUUCGGUAGCUACGGUGGUGGCAGGGGUGGCUCCUCCUUUGGAUUCGCCACCGGCUCCGACGUCCGACCUGGUGAUUGGUACUGCACUGCGGGAAACUGCGGUACCCACAAUUUCGCCAGUCGUUCCAGCUGCUUCAAAUGUGGUGCAUUCAAGGACGACCCUGCCGGAGGUUUCGACAGCGACGUUCCGCGUUCUAGAGGAUUUGGC
Molecule: long non-coding RNA, 276 nt
Filed under: Gossypium barbadense (sea-island cotton)
Lineage: Eukaryota; Viridiplantae; Streptophyta; Magnoliopsida; Malvales; Malvaceae
Description: long non-coding RNA (GBAR_LNC016038)
Source: RNAcentral